CCUACGGGGGACAGCAGUGAGGAAUAUUGGACAAUGGGCGCGAGCCUGAACCAGCCAAGUAGCGUGAAGGAUGACUGCCCUACGGGUUGUAAACUUCUUUUAUAAAGGAAUAAAGUGAGGCACGUGUGCCUUUUCGUACGUACUUUAUGAAUAAGGAUCGGCUAACUCCGUGCAAGCAGCCGAGGUAAGACGGAGGAUCCGAGCGUUAUCCGGGUUUAUUGGGUUUAAAGGGAGCGUAGAUGGGUUGUUAAGUCAGUUGUGAAAGUUUGCGGCUCAACCGUAAAAUUGCAAUUGAUACUGGCAGCCUUGAGUACAGUUGAGGUAAGCGGAAUUCGUGGUGUAGCGGUGAAAUGCUUAGAUAUCACGAAGAACACCGAUUGCGAAGGCAGCUUACUAAACUGCCACUGACAUUGAUGCUCGAAAGUGUGGGUAUCAAACAGGAUUAGAUACCCGUGUAGUC
Molecule: ribosomal RNA, 460 nt
Filed under: uncultured bacterium
Lineage: Bacteria
Description: partial 16S ribosomal RNA
Rfam family: Bacterial small subunit ribosomal RNA
Source: RNAcentral